This 503-nucleotide ribosomal RNA is filed under the name uncultured bacterium. RNAcentral describes it as "partial 16S ribosomal RNA". It matches the Rfam family "Bacterial small subunit ribosomal RNA", at positions 28 to 523 of the family's 1533-position model. The record is from RNAcentral.
GAUGAACGCUAGCGGCAGGCCUAACACAUGCAAGUCGAGGGGUAGCAGGAUUAAGCUUGCUUAAUUGCUGACGACCGGCGCACGGGUGCGUAACGCGUAUGCAACCUACCUUAUACUGGGGUAUAGCCCGGAGAAAUUCGGAUUAAUCCCCCAUAGUACUAAUGAAUCGCAUGGUUUAUUAGUUAAAGCAUUGCGGUAUAAGAUGGGCAUGCGUCCUAUUAGCUAGAUGGUGAGGUAACGUCUCACCAUGGCUACGAUAGGAAGGGGGCCUGGGAGGGUGGUCCACCACACUGGUACUGAGACACGGACCAGACUCCUACGGGAGGCAGCAGUGAGGAAUAUUGGUCAAUGGGCGCAAGCCUGAACCAGCCAUGCCGCGUGCAGGAAGAAUGCCCUAUGGGUUGUAAACUGCUUUUAUUUAGGAAUAAACCUCUUUACGUGUGGAGAGCUGAAGGUACCAAAUGAAUAAGCACCGGCUAACUCCGUGCCAGCCGCCGCAGUAA